UAAGGAAUAUUGCUCAAUGGGAGAAAUCCUGAAGCAGCAACGCCGCGUGGAGGAUGAAGGGUCUAUGACUUGUAAACUCCUGUAAAGAAGGAAAAGAUUCCCAUUUGAUGGGAGAUGAUGGUACUUCUGGAGUAAGCCCCGGCUAACUACGUGCCAGCAGCCGCGGUAAUACGUAGGGGGCAAGCGUUGUCCGGAUUUACUGGGUGUAAAGGGUGCUCAGGCGGAUUUGUAAGUCAGAGGUGAAAUCUUACAGCUUAACUGUGAAACUGCCUUUGAUACUGCAAGCCUAGAGUAUGGAAGAGAGUGAUGGAAUAUCUGGUGUAGCAGUGAAAUGCGUAGAUAUCAGAUAGAACACCAAUGGCGAAGGCAGUCACUUGGUCCAUUACUGACGCUAAAGCACGAAAGCGUGGGUAGCAAACA
RNAcentral lists this ribosomal RNA (420 nucleotides) under uncultured bacterium. Its description in RNAcentral is "bacterial SSU rRNA". It matches the Rfam family "Bacterial small subunit ribosomal RNA", at positions 355 to 774 of the family's 1533-position model. The record is from RNAcentral.